GAUGAACGCUGGCGGCGUGCCUAAUACAUGCGAGUCGAGCGAACAGACGAGGAGCUUGCUCCUCUGACGUUAGCGGCGGACGGGUGAGUAACACGUGGAUAACCUACCUAUAAGACUGGGAUAACUUCGGGAAACCGGAGCUAAUACCGGAUAAUAUAUUGAACCGCAUUGUUCAAUAGUUAAAGACGGUUUUGCUGUCACUUAUAGAUGGAUCCGCACCGCAUUAGCUAGUUGGUAAGGUAACGGCUUACCAAGGCAACGAUGCGUAGCCGACCUGAAAGGGUGGUCGGCCACACUGUAUCUGAGGCACGGUCCAGACUCCGGCAGGGGGCAGCAGUAGAGAAUCUUCCGCGAGGCACGAGAGCCUGACGGAGCAACGCCGCGUGAAUGAUGAAGGUGUUCGGAUCGUAGAACUCUGUUAUUAUGAGGGAAGAAGUGUGUAAGUAACUGUGCACAUCUUGACGGUACCGAGACAGAAAGCCACGGCUAACUACGUG
RNAcentral lists this ribosomal RNA (497 nucleotides) under uncultured bacterium. RNAcentral describes it as "partial 16S ribosomal RNA". It matches the Rfam family "Bacterial small subunit ribosomal RNA", at positions 28 to 507 of the family's 1533-position model. The record is from RNAcentral.